Long non-coding RNA from Mustela erminea (ermine), 857 nucleotides. RefSeq lists it as uncharacterized. NCBI's taxonomy places the organism in Eukaryota, Metazoa, Chordata, Mammalia, Carnivora, Mustelidae. The transcript is spliced from 2 exons. The record is from RefSeq and is a predicted model, not a curated record.
CACCCGGAGCGCGGGGCCGGGCGGGGGCAGGAAGCGAGGAUGAUUCAUGCGCCGGGGCCUCUCCCAGGGCGGCCGUUGGCUUUUUUUAAAAAGGGUGUUCGGGGCGGGGGGGGGGGCUUGCAGAGGUCCCCCCCUCGGGUUCAAGCGCUCCUCUCUUCGGUUGCUCCGACGCCAAGCCUCCCUGUCCCAGUCCUGCAGCAGCCUGACUUCAGACGAAACUAAAAAUAUCUGGAGCAAAGGCAGCCAACAUUUGACAGAACUGGGUGGCCCGUCCAUAGCUGUUCUCGGAAGACCUUCUCCUUCUCAAGCUCAAAACAUUUUCUCUGUUUUUUGUAUGUUUAAAAUAUUUGGAAAUUUCCUUUAUUUGUUUUUAGUCAUUUCUACACCCAGCGUGUGACUCGAACUCAGCCAGCCAGGCGCCCCUGAAAUAUUGGGUAAUUUUAAAGAUCUUGAUGAGAGCGCAAAGAGGGGUUGGUAAUCACACUAGCUGUCACGUAUGUGGGGCCAUCAUGGUUACCAUGUCCUAACAUGUCUGUCACGGAGGCCUGCCAGAGAUUGGGACCCUGGCAGGGCACCCUCCAGACCUAUUUCCUAGGGAGAAUAUGGAGGCCAGGUGAUGUGAUUUGUCCAGGGUCACAUGCAGGAGGGAGGGAGGAGCGGUCCCCUUCUCCGCAACUGUGUCUCUGCACCUGCCUGUCCCAGGAGACGACAAAAGGCCAAAGGACCUCCAGGGGAGGUCACCCUCCCUGCUGUAUUCAACUUUCUCCGUAUACUGCGCUGUUCUAGUUUUUCCUAUUAAGGAUAACUUGGAAAAUAGGGAACGGCACAGGAAGAAAUAAAAGUCACUUGUGAUUUUC